ACUAAAUUUAUCAUUUUGGCACUGUAUAAUCAUUAGCGUAUUCUGAAUAACUAUCUGACAUGAAGUCAGUUUCUGACAAGUUAUUUUGAUGAUCUGUUAGCAUUUAUUUAUUUAUUUACCAGAGGCGUGGUGCAUGAAAUCAUGCAUUGGUGGGGUCCCUCGACAUGGCCUUCGGGGAUCGGGCCAAACUGACAGUCCAACAUCCCCCAAGGGAUCCCGGCUUGCUAGAGGGC
Myotis brandtii (Brandt's bat) is the source of this 233-nucleotide long non-coding RNA. RefSeq lists it as uncharacterized. The transcript has 3 exons. NCBI's taxonomy places the organism in Eukaryota, Metazoa, Chordata, Mammalia, Chiroptera, Vespertilionidae. The record is from RefSeq and is a predicted model, not a curated record.